ACAGAGGUGGCGAGCGUUGUUCGGAUUUACUGGGCGUAAAGGGCGCGUAGGCGGCAAGGUAUGUGAGGUGUGAAAUCCAUGGGCUCAACCCAUGAAGUGCGCCUCAAACUGCUUUGCUUGAGUUCGGGAGGGGAGAUCGGAAUACAGGGUGUAGCGGUGAAAUGCGUUGAUAUCCUGUAGAACACCGGUGGCGAAGGCGGAUCUCUGGAACGUUACUGACGCUGAGGCGCGAAAGUAGGGGGAGCAAACAG
Molecule: ribosomal RNA, 251 nt
Filed under: uncultured prokaryote
Description: partial 16S rRNA
Rfam family: Bacterial small subunit ribosomal RNA
Source: RNAcentral